CUCCCCCGUUGCUGACCCCAGGUUCGAUAGCGCAAUUAGCGCCACCUCGCCAAGAACCAGCUUCGGUGAAGCGACGGGCGGUGUGUGCAAGGAG
RNAcentral lists this ribosomal RNA (94 nucleotides) under uncultured archaeon. RNAcentral describes it as "partial 16S ribosomal RNA". The record is from RNAcentral.